GGGCCCAUAGCUCAGCCUGGCUAGAGCACACGGCUCUUAACCGUGGGGUCGGGAGUUCAAAUCUCUCUGGGCUCA
This 75-nucleotide transfer RNA is filed under the name Nanobdellati archaeon. Its description in RNAcentral is "DPANN group archaeon (hydrothermal vent metagenome) tRNA-Lys". It matches the Rfam family "tRNA". Rfam says of the family: Transfer RNA (tRNA) molecules are approximately 80 nucleotides in length. The record is from RNAcentral. Lineage: Archaea; Nanobdellati.